RNAcentral lists this transfer RNA (74 nucleotides) under Stegodyphus mimosarum. It matches the Rfam family "tRNA". From Rfam's summary of the family: Transfer RNA (tRNA) molecules are approximately 80 nucleotides in length. Their secondary structure includes four short double-helical elements and three loops (D, anti-codon, and T loops). Lineage: Eukaryota; Metazoa; Arthropoda; Arachnida; Araneae; Eresidae. The record is from Rfam by way of RNAcentral.
GCCUUCGUGGUGGUAGUGGUCAACACGUUCGACGCGUAAUCGAGAGGUCCAUGGUUCGAUUCCCGGCGAAGGCG